Molecule: ribosomal RNA, 2465 nt
Filed under: Shigella sonnei
Lineage: Bacteria; Pseudomonadati; Pseudomonadota; Gammaproteobacteria; Enterobacterales; Enterobacteriaceae
Description: partial 23S ribosomal RNA
Rfam family: Bacterial large subunit ribosomal RNA
Source: RNAcentral
UCCUGACUGACCGAUAGUGAACCAGUACCGUGAGGGAAAGGCGAAAAGAACCCCGGCGAGGGGAGUGAAAAAGAACCUGAAACCGUGUACGUACAAGCAGUGGGAGCACGCUUAGGCGUGUGACUGCGUACCUUUUGUAUAAUGGGUCAGCGACUUAUAUUCUGUAGCAAGGUUAACCGAAUAGGGGAGCCGAAGGGAAACCGAGUCUUAACUGGGCGUUAAGUUGCAGGGUAUAGACCCGAAACCCGGUGAUCUAGCCAUGGGCAGGUUGAAGGUUGGGUAACACUAACUGGAGGACCGAACCGACUAAUGUUGAAAAAUUAGCGGAUGACUUGUGGCUGGGGGUGAAAGGCCAAUCAAACCGGGAGAUAGCUGGUUCUCCCCGAAAGCUAUUUAGGUAGCGCCUCGUGAAUUCAUCUCCGGGGGUAGAGCACUGUUUCGGCAAGGGGGUCAUCCCGACUUACCAACCCGAUGCAAACUGCGAAUACCGGAGAAUGUUAUCACGGGAGACACACGGCGGGUGCUAACGUCCGUCGUGAAGAGGGAAACAACCCAGACCGCCAGCUAAGGUCCCAAAGUCAUGGUUAAGUGGGAAACGAUGUGGGAAGGCCCAGACAGCCAGGAUGUUGGCUUAGAAGCAGCCAUCAUUUAAAGAAAGCGUAAUAGCUCACUGGUCGAGUCGGCCUGCGCGGAAGAUGUAACGGGGCUAAACCAUGCACCGAAGCUGCGGCAGCGACGCUUAUGCGUUGUUGGGUAGGGGAGCGUUCUGUAAGCCUGCGAAGGUGUGCUGUGAGGCAUGCUGGAGGUAUCAGAAGUGCGAAUGCUGACAUAAGUAACGAUAAAGCGGGUGAAAAGCCCGCUCGCCGGAAGACCAAGGGUUCCUGUCCAACGUUAAUCGGGGCAGGGUGAGUCGACCCCUAAGGCGAGGCCGAAAGGCGUAGUCGAUGGGAAACAGGUUAAUAUUCCUGUACUUGGUGUUACUGCGAAGGGGGGACGGAGAAGGCUAUGUUGGCCGGGCGACGGUUGUCCCGGUUUAAGCGUGUAGGCUGGUUUUCCAGGCAAAUCCGGAAAAUCAAGGCUGAGGCGUGAUGACGAGGCACUACGGUGCUGAAGCAACAAAUGCCCUGCUUCCAGGAAAAGCCUCUAAGCAUCAGGUAACAUCAAAUCGUACCCCAAACCGACACAGGUGGUCAGGUAGAGAAUACCAAGGCGCUUGAGAGAACUCGGGUGAAGGAACUAGGCAAAAUGGUGCCGUAACUUCGGGAGAAGGCACGCUGAUAUGUAGGUGAAGUCCCUUGCGGAUGGAGCUGAAAUCAGUCGAAGAUACCAGCUGGCUGCAACUGUUUAUUAAAAACACAGCACUGUGCAAACACGAAAGUGGACGUAUACGGUGUGACGCCUGCCCGGUGCCGGAAGGUUAAUUGAUGGGGUCAGCGCAAGCGAAGCUCUUGAUCGAAGCCCCGGUAAACGGCGGCCGUAACUAUAACGGUCCUAAGGUAGCGAAAUUCCUUGUCGGGUAAGUUCCGACCUGCACGAAUGGCGUAAUGAUGGCCAGGCUGUCUCCACCCGAGACUCAGUGAAAUUGAACUCGCUGUGAAGAUGCAGUGUACCCGCGGCAAGACGGAAAGACCCCGUGAACCUUUACUAUAGCUUGACACUGAACAUUGAGCCUUGAUGUGUAGGAUAGGUGGGAGGCUUUGAAGUGUGGACGCCAGUCUGCAUGGAGCCGGCCUUGAAAUACCACCCUUUAAUGUUUGAUGUUCUAACGUGGACCCGUGAUCCGGGUUGCGGACAGUGUCUGGUGGGUAGUUUGACUGGGGCGGUCUCCUCCUAAAGAGUAACGGAGGAGCACGAAGGUUGGCUAAUCCUGGUCGGACAUCAGGAGGUUAGUGCAAUGGCAUAAGCCAGCUUGACUGCGAGCGUGACGGCGCGAGCAGGUGCGAAAGCAGGUCAUAGUGAUCCGGUGGUUCUGAAUGGAAGGGCCAUCGCUCAACGGAUAAAAGGUACUCCGGGGAUAACAGGCUGAUACCGCCCAAGAGUUCAUAUCGACGGCGGUGUUUGGCACCUCGAUGUCGGCUCAUCACAUCCUGGGGCUGAAGUAGGUCCCAAGGGUAUGGCUGUUCGCCAUUUAAAGUGGUACGCGAGCUGGGUUUAGAACGUCGUGAGACAGUUCGGUCCCUAUCUGCCGUGGGCGCUGGAGAACUGAGGGGGGCUGCUCCUAGUACGAGAGGACCGGAGUGGACGCAUCACUGGUGUUCGGGUUGUCAUGCCAAUGGCACUGCCCGGUAGCUAAAUGCGGAAGAGAUAAGUGCUGAAAGCAUCUAAGCACGAAACUUGCCCCGAGAUGAGUUCUCCCUGACCCUUUAAGGGUCCUGAAGGAACGUUGAAGACGACGACGUUGAUAGGCCGGGUGUGUAAGCGCAGCGAUGCGUUGAGCUAACCGGUACUAAUGAACCGUGAGGCUU